UACGUAGGGGGCAAGCGUUGUCCGGAUUCAUUGGGCGUAAAGCGCGGGCAGGCGGCCCGCUCAGUCGGCCGUGAAAGCGCCGGGCUCAACUCGGCGAGGUCGGGCGAUACUGGCGGGCUCGAGGCUGGUAGAGGGCGGUGGAAUUCCGGGUGUAGUGGUGGAAUGCGUAGAGCUCCGGAGGAACACCAGUGGCGAAGGCGGCCGCCUGGGCCAGUCCUGACGCUGAGGCGCGAUAGCGUGGGGAGCAAACGGG
RNAcentral lists this ribosomal RNA (253 nucleotides) under uncultured bacterium. RNAcentral describes it as "partial 16S ribosomal RNA". It matches the Rfam family "Bacterial small subunit ribosomal RNA", at positions 524 to 776 of the family's 1533-position model. The record is from RNAcentral.